AAGCGGGGCCGUGUGCUCCUCAUCAAGGCCGGCUGGGGAGGGGGAGGCCCGGCGGGAGGCCCUGGCUCUCAUUUCAAUCACAAAGGGCGGCCAUGGGCACGCCGCCGCCAUGCUGCGCGCAGGGCCUUCGCCCCAGGUGUUGUUCCAGGGCACCUGUGCUACGUGGGGUGUGCAUCGGGAAUAAACACCAAUUCUGGUUGGCAUAAACCGAAGAACAUCUACUGGAGAGCACAGCAUGGGCAAUUUGCUCUGUCUUGUAGCACGUCGGACCCAUUUGAAACACUUCAGCAGGAAAGCAGUGUGACGUGAGCAGAGGGAAGCCUCUGAAAAUCUACCUCGUGUCUUCUCGUGGAGUUCAUCAGGACGGUGGCUGAGGUUUGAAGCCGAGAUCUUCACCACGGUGCUGCUGUAAAGGCAAUGCGGAACCAGUAAGGAUCAGGAGACUUGUGUGCUAAAUGCCAUUUUGGGCCUCGGGAAGAAGUGAGGAAACAGUUGCUGAGCACUAAGAAACAGAAGUAUGGUGAUAACAGAAGGCCAAUAAACCUAAAACUAAGGAAACACCGGGGAUGGCGACAGCAAAAGAGCAGUUAACCCAGCUGGAAAAUGGGGGAAGGAAAGCAGAAACCUCGCGGAAAGUCGGAUGCCACAUCUGAUCCGCAGCCUCCUGGGAGAAGGGCUUUGCAAAAUCCGUGCUGAGGUCGUGAGGAAACGCAGAGCAGCCUCGUCGGCUGUGGAUGCUACAUCCAAGUCCCUGCUUUGCUCUAAUGGGUUGACGACAGCCACUUUCUGUAAUUCCUCGUGAGCAAACAUCCACCCCCCGAGCAGCUGCUGCCGCUGUGUCCGUGCGUGUGCAUUUUGGAAUAACACCAUCCCUAAUUUGUCCCCAGUUGGCUUUCACCUGCAGCCUCGUUGACGAGGGCUCAGGAUGAAGUUGUGGCCCCCAUUAAAAAUGAAGGGCCCUCGUGAUAAAUGAGGUGGCGCCAACCUGAGCGGCGAAAUGGUUUGAAAUAAGCUCUCAGCCGGCCUCGAAUAAUUGUAGGAAGUGGGAUGCUCGCCACAGGGCACCUCCUUUGUAAUUUGUGAGGGGACGAUGACGUUUGAAUGCUAGGAAAUAGGAGCAUCCAAAAAAAAAAACAACAAUGUUCAUUCCCGAUAUCGAGUCUUGAUUAUU
Anas platyrhynchos (mallard) is the source of this 1171-nucleotide non-coding RNA. NCBI's taxonomy places the organism in Eukaryota, Metazoa, Chordata, Aves, Anseriformes, Anatidae. The record is from RefSeq and is a predicted model, not a curated record.